Osmia bicornis bicornis is the source of this 474-nucleotide long non-coding RNA. RefSeq lists it as uncharacterized. The record is from RefSeq and is a predicted model, not a curated record. The transcript has 3 exons. Lineage: Eukaryota; Metazoa; Arthropoda; Insecta; Hymenoptera; Megachilidae.
CCACGAUCGCCUGCACCUGUAUCAGGACGAAGGGGGUCAGUGAGCUGUAUCGGACCACUAUGAUCCCGAACAGCAGGAGACAGUUAGCUGUCGUUAAAAAAGAAAGGAAUCGUGAGUGUUCUGGAAUGACGAUUCCCGCGUCAUCUCCAAGAGUCGGAGAUGUUUGACGACAGGAUGAGUUACUCGAUUCGAUUAACGCGUGCGAGUUCGUCAGUGUAAUGGAUUGGCAAACGAGAUGCGUUGUUACGGAAGAAAAAGAGAAAAGAAAAGAAAAACCAGAGAGAUGGAAAAAAUUCGAGGAUCGUGGAACGCGCGUGUCGAUGACACCGAUAGAGAGGAACAAACAGACGAAGGAACUCCGGGGAUUGUCUGACAAACCAGAGGUGUUUCUCGUCUUCGCGAUUCCGUCACUUACCACUCCAAGUGUCUCCCUCUUGUUCAACCGCAGCUCCCUUAGCAUCUGGUUCCUCUGCU